Molecule: long non-coding RNA, 4144 nt
Organism: Pseudophryne corroboree (corroboree frog)
Lineage: Eukaryota; Metazoa; Chordata; Amphibia; Anura; Myobatrachidae
Exons: 3
Source: RefSeq, a predicted model, not a curated record
AUCCAGCCUUGUAGCUCUGCUUGGGACUUGCACAGAGGACAGAUAUAGUACUGUCAGGAUAACAUAUGUUUGGAAAGGUCAGGAGAAGUUUCUCAAGGAUUUAUGUGCAUUGCCACGCAUAUUUUACAUCACUCGCUUAAAAUUGAGCUAUAAUCACGAAUAACCUUUUGUAGCUCAAACAAAGGGCAAAAUGAUUUGUUCCAGGAAGGAUCAGUGUUCGAUCUUUCUCUUGUAUUUUCUGCUAAUUUGCCAAUGGCUACAUGAUGCCUAUAAGAAGGAGCGGACAAAUUCAGCAGUACUCUGCUAGUGUGAAAGGUAAUCUGGUUCUUGUCACUGUAGUUCAAGUGGAUAUGACAUGCAAUUACACAUUUCUUUCUGUUUAAAACAGAGCUGGUCAAACCGUUAUGUACUGGUAGAGCUAUGCUUGGAAAUGUACUGUAGCAAUCAGUCAUGUCCACCAGCAAAGAAUGACUCUGUCUCACCCACAAUAGUGUCAAAAUGGAAACCCAGCAAUCAUUACACCAUCCUCAUCUUGCACACAGAAAAUUUGGAAUUUCACACAAAGAUGCGGACAGAACAUGGAAACAACAACUGCAGUGGGCUGGUACAAAUCUACAAUGCAAGCAGAUUGAUAGGAACGAUGUGGCUUCAUAGAUGCAAGCAACACUGAAGACAGAUGGACACCAGACAGGUGUGUCGGCAGCACUGGAGCGGAUAGACAUUAGACCGAUGUAUCGGCAACACUGGAGUGGAUGGACACUGGACAGGUGCGUCAGCAGCACAGGAGUGGAUGGACACAGCAGCCCCUGGAUAAACACAGACAGCAGCCCCUGGAUAAGCACAGACAGCUACCCCUGGAUAGCAGCCCCUGGAUGGACACAGACAGCAGCCCCCGGAUGGACACAGACAGCAGCUUCUGGAUGGACACAGCAGCCCCUGGAUGGACACAGAAAGCAGCUUCUCGAUGGACACAGGGCCUAAUUCAGAUGAUUGCAACAGCAAAUUUGUUAGCUAAUGGGCAAAACCAUGGUGGUCAUUCAGAGUUGUUCGCUCGCUAGCAGUAUUUAGCAGCCGUGCAAACGCUAUGCCGCCUGCCACUGGGAGUGUAUUUUAGCUUAGCAGAAGUGCGAACGAAAGGAUCGCAGAGCGGCGGCAUAAUUUGUUUGUGCAGUUUUAGAGUAGCUCAAUACCUACUUAGCGCUUGCGAUGACUUCAGACUGUUCAGUUCCUGUUUUGACGUCACAAACACACCCUGCGUUUGCCAAGCCACGCCUGCGUUUUUCCUGGCAUGCCUGCGUUUGUCCGAACACUCCUUGAAAACGGUCAGUUGACACCCAGAAACGCCCACUUUAUGUCAAUCACUCUGCGGUCAGCAGUGCGACUCAAAUGCUUCGCUAGACCUUGUGAUUGUCACAGGAGGCAUAUCCGUGCUCAGAUUGCUGAGUCAAGGUGUGCGAUGUGUCAAUUAGCCAAUUGGAGCACUGCAGAAACUGCUGAGAAGUUCCUGCAACAUAUCAGGAAGCUCUUACAGCAGCAUCUGCAGUAGUGUGUAAAUGGUGAAGAGAGAGGGGAUGGGUGCCUGCUCUCUAAUAAACAUUUUGUUUCUUUAAACUAAAACUGGUUGCCCAAGGCAGUAAGUCUGGGUACACACCACAGCCACAAAGCAGCAGAUUAGGUAUGCUAUAUACACUUAAACCAUCGGCCGCUCGAUCUGUCGAUGCUGACAUAUUAACUGGGUGGGCUUUUGAAUCUGCCUGUCUAAUUGUGUUGUCAGUGUCAGCGGUACCCGCAGCCAGUGUAUGGGCAGUUGCAGGGUCACCCAUACACACAACCAGACAUGCCAAUAUAUCAUUCAGAUAUAUCGGCAUCGGCUCUGCUGCAAGGCCAAAAUAAUGUAUUUCUGAACGACAUAUCGGUUGUACACAUCCUCCGAUGAUCUAUAUGAUGAAUAAUAUUUAUGUCUAGUGUAUACCCACCAUAAGAGAAGAACCAGACCACCCCUGCAUGAACCCCGCCCCUUGAUAGAGACGUACCUGUGAACGUGGUGCGGGCACAGUAGGCUCUUGUACAAUGCCAGAGUCUGCUGCACCGCCAGAGAGGAGGGGGCCCGAUCGGAGCCUGCACAGAGGCCCCCUCCUCUCUUAAAGUGCUUCUGCUUUAUCCCCUAUUUUCUCUCAUUACUCACUCCCUCUAGAACAGUGGGAUGUAAUUAAAAGGUGUACAUUAACAAUGUCGACGUGCAUCCUGUCGACACCACAUGUCCAGUUAUGAUGUUGACAUUGUUAAAAUGUCUACAAGCAACAUGUUGUCAUUCUCACAAUGUCCUAUUUGAACAUUAACGUUAAUACGCAUUUUGGUUAUUGGGUGUCACUGUAACUAGAUGGGGGCUGCUAUCCUUGAAAAACACUAGUUGGUUGAUCUCCAUUUUUGACUAUACUAUAUUCCCAGAAUGUUUACAGGUAAAAUGUUGGCAUUCGCCCUCAUUCCGAGUUGAUCGCUCGCUAGCUGCUUUUAGCAGCAUUGCACAUGCUAGGCCGCCGCCCUCUGGGAGUGUAUCUUAGCUUAGCAGAAUAGCGAACGAAAGAUUAGCAGAACUGCUACUAAAUAAUUCUUUGCAGUUUCUGAGUAGCUCCUGACCUACUCACAGAUUGCGAUCAGCUCGGUCCGUUUAGUUCCUGGUUUGACGUCACAAACUCGCUCUGCGUUCGGCCAGCCACUCCUGCGUUUUUGCCUGACACGCCUGCGUUUUUUAGCACACUCCUGGAAAAUGCUCAGUUACCACCCAGAAACGCCCCUUUCCUGUCAAUCACUCACCGAUCAGCAGUGCGACUGAAAAGCGCCGCAGAAUCCACAGCAAAUCUACUAAGUUCUUAGUUAAAUAACUAAGCGCAUGCGCCCUGCAUGCCUUGCGCAUGCGCAUUUUGCAACAAAUCGCAGCAUAGCGAAAAUCGGCAACGAGCGAACAACUUGGAAUGACCCCCAUUGUCAGAAUGUUGACAUUAGGGUUAGGCUGCCGGAGGGUUAGGGAUAGGCUGCAGGCAGAGGCGGAUUGGCCAUAGGGCUUACAGAGAAGAAUCCCGGUGGGCCGACGCACCCGCUGGGCCUGUUUUGUUUGAGGACAUGUGGUCCUAUUUAUAGACAUAAUGAAUAAGAUGCAAAAUAAUUUGCAUAUAUGAAAAUUUCUUUACCACUUAGCCUGUCAUUGCAGAUGAUCUAGUGCAGUGGUUCUCAAACUCGGUCCUCAGGACCCCACACAGUGCAUGUUUUGCAGGUAACCCAGCAAGUGCACAGGUGUAUUAAUUACUCACUGAGACAUUUUAAAAGGUCCACAGGUGGAGCUAAUUAUGUCACUUGUAAUUCUGUCAGGAGACCUGCAAAUCAUGCACUGUGUGGGGUCCUGAGGACCGAGUUUGAGAACCUGUGAUCUAGUGUAUGCUCUGUCUGCCUGCUUGGCUGACAUAUAAGAUUGAGUGAAUAGUGAUUGGAAUACGGUUGGUGUAAUAAGCAAGAAAAUAGAUCUUUCUAAAGAAUGAUAUAGUUUCCUAAAUUCUGAAGGUGUAUCAUAUAAUGUGCUCAUAAUAUUUAAUUUUAUUUCAUUUUAACUUCCCCCUUGAUGCUGGACAUGCCCACUAUCUGGAAAGUCUUGGGGGGAGGGUGCUGCUGCCAUGGCCCAUGGGUAGACAUUACGCCAUUGACCUUACCCAUGUGGGGCCACUAGUACAAAUUUUUCCAGGGCCGCUUUUUGUUCCCAAUCCGCCCCUGGGCUGCAGGGGUUUUAGGAUUGUUCUGUUUGACUUGUCUAAUACUGGUAUGCACCAGCAGGGACUGCUGCCUGGAAUCAACUCUUUCUGUUCAGGACUAUUGACCUGCUUGUUAAGAGUUAAUCUGCCUGAUUAGUGGCAUCUUUGGUGCAGGUACUUAACUUCUCUCCAUGAGACUGUGCAUUGCUGGUCAAUUAGUUCCUGUGCUAUUCUUGGGAUCUGCAUCUGAAGUUACUGAUGUUUCUCUGAUCAGGGCCGAAACUAGGAUUUACGUCACCCGGGGCAAGGCAUUAGCUUGGCACCCCCCACCCCCACCCACGCAUGUAACUAUGUGUGCGUAUUAUAUAUAUAUAUAUAUAUAUAGCAGUGAGAGAGGAUCCGGC